CUAAUACAUGCAAGUCGAGCGAACAGACAAGGAGCUUGCUCCUUUGACGUUAGCGGCGGACGGGUGAGUAACACGUGGGUAACCUACCUAUAAGACUGGGAUAACUUCGGGAAACCGGAGCUAAUACCGGAUAAUAUUUCGAACCGCAUGGUUCGAUAGUGAAAGAUGGUUUUGCUAUCACUUAUAGAUGGACCCGCGCCGUAUUAGCUAGUUGGUAAGGUAACGGCUUACCAAGGCGACGAUACGUAGCCGACCUGAGAGGGUGAUCGGCCACACUGGAACUGAGACACGGUCCAGACUCCUACGGGAGGCAGCAGUAGGGAAUCUUCCGCAAUGGGCGAAAGCCUGACGGAGCAACGCCGCGUGAGUGAUGAAGGUCUUCGGAUCGUAAAACUCUGUUAUUAGGGAAGAACAUACGUGUAAGUAACUAUGCACGUCUUGACGGUACCUAAUCAGAAAGCCACGGCUAACUACGUGCCAGCAGCGCGG
This 489-nucleotide ribosomal RNA is filed under the name Staphylococcus haemolyticus. Its description in RNAcentral is "bacterial SSU rRNA". It matches the Rfam family "Bacterial small subunit ribosomal RNA", at positions 48 to 520 of the family's 1533-position model. Lineage: Bacteria; Bacillati; Bacillota; Bacilli; Caryophanales; Staphylococcaceae. The record is from RNAcentral.